UACGGGAGCAGCAGUAGGGAAUCUUCCGCAAUGGACGAAAGUCUGACGGAGCAACGCCGCGUGAACGAUGAAGGCUUUCGGGUCGUAAAGUUCUGUUGUUAGGGAAGAACAAGUACCAGAGUAACUGCUGGUACCUUGACGGUACCUAACCAGAAAGCCACGGCUAACUACGUGCCAGCAGCCGCGGUAAUACGUAGGUGGCAAGCGUUGUCCGGAAUUAUUGGGCGUAAAGCGCGCGCAGGUGGUUCCUUAAGUCUGAUGUGAAAGCCUACGGCUCAACCGUGGAGGGUCAUUGGAAACUGGGGACUUGAGUGCAGAAGAGGAAAGUGGAAUUCCACGUGUAGCGGUGAAAUGCGUAGAGAUGUGGAGGAACACCAGUGGCGAAGGCGACUUUUCUGGUCUGUAAACUGACACUGAGGCGCGAAAGCGUGGGGAGCGAACAGGGAUUAGAUACC
Molecule: ribosomal RNA, 455 nt
Filed under: uncultured bacterium
Lineage: Bacteria
Description: bacterial SSU rRNA
Rfam family: Bacterial small subunit ribosomal RNA
Source: RNAcentral